AAUUUUCGGUACUGUGUUCCCCUUUAGAACCAGCUACCAGGUGAUAAGAGCGUUAGCUCUACGUCACCCGAAGAAACCACCUUGCCGGGUGGUUUUUUCGU
This 101-nucleotide non-coding RNA is filed under the name Klebsiella oxytoca. The record is from RNAcentral. Lineage: Bacteria; Pseudomonadati; Pseudomonadota; Gammaproteobacteria; Enterobacterales; Enterobacteriaceae.